GUGUUCACUUUGGCAGCACAUGCACAAAAAUUGGAACAAUACAGAGAAGAUUCAUAAGGUGUCUGCGCAAGGAUGACAUACAAAUUUGUGAGGUGUUCCACAUAAAA
This is a non-coding RNA of Papio anubis (olive baboon), 107 nucleotides long. The record is from Rfam. Lineage: Eukaryota; Metazoa; Chordata; Mammalia; Primates; Cercopithecidae.